This 403-nucleotide ribosomal RNA is filed under the name uncultured bacterium. Its description in RNAcentral is "bacterial SSU rRNA". It matches the Rfam family "Bacterial small subunit ribosomal RNA", at positions 355 to 774 of the family's 1533-position model. The record is from RNAcentral.
UAACGAAUCUUCCGCAAUGCACGCAAGUGUGACGGAGCAAUGCCGCGUGUGGGAUGAAGCAGCUUCGCUGUGUAAACCACUGUCAGGGUCUAGGAAGAACUGACCAGACCCAGAGGAAGGGCCGGCUAAACUCGUGCCAGCAGCCGCGGUAAUACGAGUGGCCCGAGCGUUAAUCGGAAUCACUGGGCUUAAAGCGUCCGCAGGCGGGUUCGCAGGCAUCUCGUGAAAUCCCACGGCUCAACCGUGGAACUGCGGGGUGAACCGCGAGCCUUGAGGUAGGUAGGGGUCAUCGGAACGUACGGUGGAGCGGUGAAAUGCAUAGAUAUCGUACGGAACGCCAAAGGUGAAGACAGGUGACUGGGCCUAUUCUGACGCUCAUGGACGAAAGCGUGGGGAUCAAACA